GACGAACGCUGGCGGCGUGCUUAACACAUGCAAGUCGAACGGAAAGGCCCUGCUUUUGUGGGGUGCUCGAGUGGCGAACGGGGGAGUAAAACGUGAGUAAACUGCCCUUGACUUUGGGAUAACUUCAGGAAACUGGGGCUAAUACCGGAUAGGAGCUACUGCUGCGUGGUGGGGGUUGGAAAGUUUCGGCGGUGGGGGAUGGACUAGCGGCUUAUCAGCUUGUUGGGGGGGUAGUGGCUUACCAAGGCUUUGACGGGUAGCCCGCCUGAGAGGGUGACCGGCCACCUUGGUACUGCGAUACGGACCAGACUCCUACGGGAGGCAGCAGUCGGGAAUAUUGCACAACGGGCGGAAGCCUGAGGCAACAACGCCCCGUGCGUAAUGACGGCCUUCGGGUUGUAAACCGCUUUCGCCUGUGACGAAGCGUGAGUGACGGUAAUGGGUAAAGAAGCACCGGCUAACUACGUG
RNAcentral lists this ribosomal RNA (468 nucleotides) under uncultured bacterium. RNAcentral describes it as "partial 16S ribosomal RNA". It matches the Rfam family "Bacterial small subunit ribosomal RNA", at positions 28 to 507 of the family's 1533-position model. The record is from RNAcentral.